UUUCUUGACCAUGUGAUGGAUUGUAGAUGGAGUAGAUCUUAACAUGCUUUUUAAUUAUUAAAUGAGCGUUAUUAAGUGUGUGCCCUCUCCUAGGGCUGGGAAUAUACAGCCUUUGAGGAGAACUCAUGGUAUAAAGGACUUAAUUGGUGUUGCUGGUCUGUCUCCAUGAAUGAAACCAAGUAGGAGGUUCGUUCAUGAAGCAGAUACUUAAACACCUGCCUGUGCAAGGCGCUGUGCUGGCGUGAGCUCGUGGUGGAGCUUGGGGAGUAGGAGGUACAGGUGAGUCGUGUACAUGGAUAACUAAGGCACAAGUGAGAAAUGCCAGGUGCCCCAGGAGAGCAAGAAAGUAGUGUGAGCUCUUUCUCAUAGGAAAAUAGUGUUUCUAGCCCAGGAAGGCUUUAUGAAAAGAGCAUGUGUACUAGGUCUUAAAGGACGACCGGUGGUGGCACUUCUCAAACCCCUAGACAGAUGUUUUUAUUCCUCUUCCAUCGCCUUACACACCAUGAACAGUUUGUCUUUUUCUGACAGUUGGCUCAGUGUUUAUCCUGGGCUGUACAAAAGGUUAAGCACUCGGCUGCUAACCAGAAGGUUGGCGGUUUGAACUCACCCAGAGGCUCUUUGGAAGACAUUCUUGGCAGUCUGCCUCCAAAAGGUCACAGCCUUGAAAACCCUUCGGAGCAGUUCUGCUCUGCACAAAUGGGAUCACUAUGAGUUAGAAUCAACUGGACAGCAACUAAAAACAGCAGCAGAGCUGGGCGGUAUGAAUUCACCACCAGCUCCACCACCAGUUGCUGGGACGUUGACUCCAACUCUUGGUGAUCCCAUGUGUGUCAGAGUAGAACUGUGCUGCUUGGGGUUUUCAGUGGCUGAUAUUUCGGAAGUAGAUCUCAGUGGCUGAUAUUUCGGAAGUAGAUCACUAGGCCUUUUUUGCAAGGUGCCUCUGGGUGGGCUGGAACCUCCAACCUUUCAGUUAGCAGCCAUGUGAGUUGACCGUUUGCACCACACAGGGACUUGGAUAUUAAUUUAGUAAGAGCGUAAUUAGUUUCUGUUACACUCCUUCAGAGGCUAGCCUAGUUCUUGUGAGUAUAGGACGGUAGUUAAUUAUAUCAUGGGUUUUGGGGCAGAGUACCUACUGUGGUCAGGAUAAAAUGAAUAGUGUAUGAAAGUGGUUCGAAUAAAGCCUGACACAUAGUAAGUGCUUGGUAAAUGACAGCUUCUGCUUAAACAGUGCUGGAUUAAUUCCUGAAAGUAGUUCACCCAUAGGGUGUUCUUGGUGUCUGCUUCGGUUUGGGCUUUCUGAGAGACGAGAUCGCUUCACGCGAGUUUUCUGUGGUCAAGUCUCAGCUGUUGUCGACAGAGAUCACAGUCUUCCUCCACCCCUGUCAUCCGUAAUUGUUUGUUCUUUGCUUGGUUGCUUUAGGGAUGUGGUACUUUGGGUGGAAACAUGAUCCUUUCAGAAGCCUGUGUCCAGGCGAGCUCUGAUAGAUCAUGGCUUAAUUAUUUUAAGAAGCACCUCAGAGGAGCUGCUGAGGAGGGGCUCCCUUUGUGUGUUGAGAGACCUAGCAGGAAACGCUGGUUUUUCUAUUCCAGGGUUGUUGAAACUGAACUCAAACUUUAUCCGUGGACUUGGAGAGGCCCCAGUUUUCUCCUUACUACAGCCCUAAUGAGCUGCUGGGUGUCAUCCUGUCCCACUUCCGUUAGUCUGAACCACACCAGGAUGGUCUCCUUGGUGGCAGUGCGGCAUUCUUGAGUGUAAGACAGCCUGUGUCUUCUGACCUAACUCCUUUCUCAGGUGCUGGGGCUGUAUUUCGGAGUCACGUGGUGGCUGGAGUGACCUGCCGUUUACAGGACUGGAAGAGCCGGUUGAAACACUGGCAUUAGAGGUGUCCCAGCGCCUGCUUCCUCCUGGUGCCUCCCAUCAGCAGGGCUAUGUCUGCAGCUCUCCCGUGGAGCAUGCACUGAGCAGGCCAGCCAGGCCUCCUGAGGUUCCAGUCUGGAAGCCACUGUGGCUUGGUCUUCGACAGUGAAUACUUUUUAAUGUAGAGCGGAGCUGUGGGCCUGUUCCAGUCAGCAUGCCACCGCACCCUGUCCCUAGCUUAGGCUCUGCUGUGUUGGCUGGUGUGUUAAAGUUGCUCUUCACGUGUGUUUGUGUGUGGAGGGUAAGAGAAGAGGCGGCGCUCUUUGGGGACACUUUGCGUGGACUGGAGCAAUUGCUUUCACUUGUGAGAGGAUAUGAAAGAAAAACAUUAAGUAGAAAUUGCAGUGUAAGACACAGAUGAGAGGAUGAGCAUAGUGAAACUGAACAGAAACAUGAAGUUAUUAAAAAAAAGUUAAGUUAUAAAAUGCUUGGAGACCCCACAGACUUCAGUUUUAUUUUAUUUUUCUAAGUUUUCGUGUUUUCCUGUGCUUCUGUAGCAGAUAGAUACCUCCCACAUCUUGAAUCCUUGUAACUGUGAUGCAAUGUUGAUGAUUAACCGGAUAAAUGAAGCGUUUGGCUUCUAAUCAUUUAGACGUUAUGUACACACACUCAUCCGCUCACAUAUGCACACCCACAGAUGCGUGUACCUGUCAUUGCACGAUAUUCUAAUGACUUUCCUCGUAGUAGCAGGACUUGGCUAUAAGCUUUUCUUCAUCUUGCUCCUUUCAGGUAUUUUUUGAGACUGGAUCUUUUUGAGAAGUAGGAGAAAGGAUCCUUUUGGUCCAUAGCACCUCACGGCUAAUUGGAGUUUUGUAAAUAUAAAAUGAAGCAUGACUGCUGUUCACUUUCUGUUUUGGGGAAAUUGUUCCCACUCUUAUCAGUAGCCGUGACAUCCGGCAUGGGGGUUAGUACAGUUAAUUCUUCUGUGUCAUGGCUGGUAGAGAGGGUUGAUCUCUAUGUAGAGACAGUCUCCUACACGCUGGCACAUUGCAGUUUUCAUUCACGGCUCAGGUGUUGGUGGUUCAUGUAAUAUACUUUUUCAUUGUACUCAGAAUACUUUUUCUAAAAACUGUUAAGAUGGGAAUUAAUAACCUUCAGUUAGAUCUAUCUACAUAAUUUAUGACUCUCAAUGCUUAUUUGUUAUCAUACCCUUUAAGUGUAAAAGUUAGUAUGAUUAGCAAUCUAUCUCUAACAGUAGGAAAAUAAAAUUUAAAAUCUAACCAUCAAUUUUGCGAUAAAGAUGCAGAUUCUGAAACUUGGGCUUUACCUGAGAAGUGUGUGUACAGUCGAUCCUCAUUAUUCCCAGUAGUCGUGUUCUGUAAAGUCCUCUCGAACUUAUAAUUAGUCCCGAACCUGCCUGUGUGCCAGGCGACUCACGCUGUCACUGCUCUGUGCAUGCGCAUGUUCGCAAGUGACCAUGAAAGCACCAUGAGUAUUGAUUUGGGGCUACAAAUAAAAUUCUAGCUGGUAGGUACAUUUACAACUACGAAUCCGUGGAUAAUAAGGGUUGACUGCACUUUGAUUGUAGUGUUUCAUUACCUUCAUACCUAGAGUGCUUUCCCCAAGUGGUUUGCAUUUUGUACCUGUUAUUACCGAGUAGGUUAAAAAUUUGUUCCUUUGAUUUCGUUGAAUCAGAAUUGCCUUGUUUUGGGCUGUUGCUGCUGGGAGAUGCCUACACGUGGGAAUGCACAGAGAUUGGAGGUACCACAUCGAUGAUCAAUACCUGGACUUAGUCAAGCUCCUAGAUGGCGACCAUGGCAGGUUCUUUAAAGUCACGGUGCUGGUUUUUCACUGGAUGCCAUCUGGUUUUUCACCAGGAUCUUAAGAGCAAAGUUCUCAUCAGUUGUAUUGUUGAAGUGAGCAGACUCAUUGUACAUCAGCAUUUUAGCCCGAGGCCUUCUUUUGCCUUUUAGGUGUGAAAGACAAUAGGAUAAAUUUUUAUUAUGCCUGAUACUACCAGGAUGUAGACUAAGAAUAUUACUUGUAGUAGUACAAAUAAAUCUGGUGUUUGUAAGGGUGUUACAGUGUGUGACCAAGUAGCUUGUUAUCCAAUGUUAUAUACAUUCUGUUCUAUUUCUCCUGUGUUAUUUAUGUAAAUGUAACAAGAGGUAUUUGCUAUACUACAUACUGCACUUUCUUGGACCAAUACAUAAAAAUCUAAGGCUAUUUUGUUAUCUCAUGUCACCUUGGCUUAAUGAGGUAGAGAUCACUGUGGUGUAUCUAUGUCACUAGCAACAUCACUAUGUCUGUUAUUUGUCACAUAGUGAUUGAUAAAUUUCUUAAAAAGAUUCCUCCAAUUCAAAUAUACUGUAAGUAGGAAUUAAAUUUACCAACUAUACCUUUGGUGUUGGACGAGUGGGCUUUCUUCUAACUAUACCUUUGGUGUUGGACCAGUGGGCUUUCUUCUGACUCUCGUUUUACAAAGGGUAACAAAUUAACAUUACCUUUCUAGUAUUUACUACGAAUAUCGAAAGAUAAUCUUAAAGUUCUCAAAGUGUAGUCAUUGCCUAGAUUAGCUAGGAAUCUAAACAAGAGAUUGUCUAUGUAAAUUUACUAUUAGUUGGAAAGGGGUCAUUUAAAUUUGUUAGUUGCAUCUACCACACAAAAGCAUAUCAUCUAUAAAGCACACAAAGUUUGUCUAGAGAAAACAGAAGGCAUAGAAAAGUUUAUGUAUAAUAAACAAGUUUCUAUUAAAAAAUACAUGAUUAGCAAGAUAAUACAGGAUGGAUUUCUCCUGUUGGAGCUCUCUAGUUAAUCUGUCUAAAACAUAUUAAGUGUUUUCCCUGAGGGCAAGCUGUCUCUCAUCGGUUUACCUAUUAAGUCAUGGGUCACUUUCUCAAAAGCAGAAGUGGAAUUUAAGACAAAAUGGAGUCUGAGUCAUGAGGUUGAUCUCUGAGAACCUGAUUUCUUUAAGUUAUAUAAUUUUCUAUAUAGCAAGAGGGUAAGAUUUUGAUUACAAGCAUUAGACAGGUAUUUCAUACAACAUUGUCUUGAAAACUGAUUAAACCAAUUACUGAUUUACCUUAAAUAUAACUAUUUACUGAUUUUUGGAGUCAGUUUCUCGUAGCAGACUGAAUUCUUCAAAAAAAAAAAGCAUAGCGCCUGGAGCAAAAUGGUCUUGUUAGUUUAUCUGGACAGUUGUUUGACUACUAGUGGCUUUAGGAAUCAGUUUUUUUCUCAAAGCUCAAGGUUUAAAAGGACACCCAAAGGCGAUGGCUUGUGUAGGUUGUCCCAACCUCUAUGAAAGUCAGAAAUCUGGAUUUUAGGAAAAUUACAGUCUUUCAUGGUUCCCUCUUUGGAUCAGGAUCUUGUAAUAGAAUCUUUGAUUAAAAAUGUUUAAUAAAUGGUAAUUGGGCACUAUCUGGUUUUUAAGAUCUCAGGCACCAUACAGUAAAUCAGGAGGUAGAAUAGAAACACUAACACUAGGCCAAUUAUCUGAAAUAAAUGAAACCAUGACUCUAAGGUCUUUGAACCAAGGAAGCAAAUCUCAUGAGGUGUUUGUUUACCCAUAAGUAGCAUCAGUAACUGGUUUUCAUGUGUCUCAGUAACAGCUACGUUCUCUCAAACCUAAGAUUGUGUAUUAAUAUAAACACAGCAACAUUUAUCUAUUAAGGAACAAACUAUUCUUUGAGAGAACUAAUAGAAAAUCUGAUGUUAUUCUCAUUUGUAAAAUCAUAGGUCAAAUUUUAGGUACUUUUCUGGUUAUGAUAUUUACAACUUUGCUAAGUUUACCAAAAGGAACUUCUAAUUCAAGAGUUAAAAUAAUUAAACCCAUUAGGUAGAUAAUUUAGGAGAAAAGAGGAAAAUGGUUUCUUAUGCCUAGAAUGUAGGACCCUAAAGCGUUAUUCCCAGAAAGACUUUAAAAUAUCAGAAAUAUUUUUACAUAAAACCCAUAGCAUCGUUUCGUUUACUCAGUCUUAUGUAGUUAACUUCUGUUGCAGGUGAUUCUGGAUGACUAUAGUUUGCAAAACCAUCAGCUUCUGUAUAGAGUUCUGGAAAUCUUGAUUGAGUCUAGUCACGGUCUUUUUUUUGCAAGUUCAAUACAGUCCAUAUUUUUUUGUUGAGAUAUUCUGGUCAAAUGUUUUCAGAAAAUCAGCAAAGUAAAAAUUUAUCUGAAGAUGACAAAACUUAUUAUGGCCAUGAUUAAUGUAUAAACGUAACUCUUAAUAGUCAAAGACCUGAUAGAAAUUAAUUAAUUACAAGCAUAAUAUAAAGGCCAAGUAAAAUUAGUUUAAAAAAAAAAAAAACACUUUAGAUAAAAAUAUUUUUAAAUAUA
Molecule: long non-coding RNA, 6194 nt
Organism: Loxodonta africana (African savanna elephant)
Lineage: Eukaryota; Metazoa; Chordata; Mammalia; Proboscidea; Elephantidae
Exons: 2
Source: RefSeq, a predicted model, not a curated record